RNAcentral lists this ribosomal RNA (253 nucleotides) under uncultured bacterium. RNAcentral describes it as "partial 16S ribosomal RNA". It matches the Rfam family "Bacterial small subunit ribosomal RNA", at positions 524 to 776 of the family's 1533-position model. The record is from RNAcentral.
UACGAGGGGGGCAAGCGUUGUUCGGAAUUACUGGGCGUAAAGAGUGUGUAGGCGGUGCUCCCAGUCUGUUGUGAAAUCUCCCGGCUUAGCUGGGAGGGUGCAGCGGAAACUAGAGUGCUAGAGGGUGGGAGAGGUAAGCGGAAUUCCUGGUGUAGCGGUGAAAUGCGUAGAUAUCAGGAGGAACACCUGUGGUGUAGACAGCUUACUGGACCACUUCUGACGCUGAGACACGAAAGCGUGGGUAGCAAACAGG